AUAUAUAUUAUCAACCAUUUCUCUUGUUGAAGUGGUUUGGAUGUGGGGGUUUGCUGGCCUUGUUAAAGGGUUCAGCUCUCCUGAAAUGCAUUAGCAGAACAGCCCUGUUCAUUGGUGUGAUAACUAUCUACGCUAUUGAAUGUGACGGGAAGUUCAGCUUUCUAACAGUCCUUGGACAAUUCAUCAUUA
Molecule: unclassified non-coding RNA, 189 nt
Filed under: uncultured Cortinarius
Lineage: Eukaryota; Fungi; Basidiomycota; Agaricomycetes; Agaricales; Cortinariaceae
Also listed under: 1 other name
Description: sequence contains ITS2
Source: RNAcentral